This 497-nucleotide ribosomal RNA is filed under the name uncultured bacterium. RNAcentral's name for it is "partial 16S ribosomal RNA". It matches the Rfam family "Bacterial small subunit ribosomal RNA", at positions 28 to 507 of the family's 1533-position model. The record is from RNAcentral.
GACGAACGCUGGCGGCGUGCCUAAUACAUGCAAGUUGAGCGCUGAAGGUUGGUACUUGUACCCACUGGAUGAGCAGCGAACGGGUGAGUAACGCGUGGUGAAUCUGCCUUUGAGCGGGGGACAACAUUUGGAAACGAAUGCUAAUACCGCAUAAAAACUUUAAACACAAGUUUUAAGUUUGAAAGAUGCAAUUGCAUCACUCAAAGAUGAUCCCGCGUUGUAUUAGCUAGUUGGUGAGGUAAAGGCUCACCAAGGCGAUGAUACAUAGCCGACCUGAGAGGGGGAUCGGCCACAUUGGGACUGAGACACGGCCCAAACUCCUACGGGAGGCAGCAGUAGGGAAUCUUCGGCAAUGGACGAAAGUCUGACCGAGCAACGCCGCGUGAGUGAAGAAGGUUGUCGGAUCGUAAAACUCUGUUGGUAGAGAAGAACGUUGGUGAGAGUGGAAAGCGCAUCAAGUGACGGUAACUACCCAGAAAGCGACGGCUAACUACGUG